Molecule: ribosomal RNA, 497 nt
Filed under: uncultured bacterium
Lineage: Bacteria
Description: partial 16S ribosomal RNA
Rfam family: Bacterial small subunit ribosomal RNA
Source: RNAcentral
GAUGAACGCUGGCGGCGUGCCUAAUACAUGCAAGUCGAGCGAACAGACGAGGAGCUUGCUCCUCUGACGUUAGCGGCGGACGGGUGAGUAACACGUGGAUAACCUACCUAUAAGACUGGGAUAACUUCGGGAAACCGGAGCUAAUACCGGAUAAUAUAUUGAACCGCAUGGUUCAAUAGUGAAAGACGGUUUUGCUGUCACUUAUAGAUGGAUCCGCGCCGCAUUAGCUAGUUGGUAAGGUAACGGCUUACCAAGGCAACGAUGCGUAGCCGACCUGAGAGGGUGAUCGGCCACACUGGAACUGAGACACGGUCCAGACUCCUACGGGAGGCAGCAGUAGGGAAUCUGCCGCAAUGGGCGAAAGCUUGACGGAGCAACGCCGCGUGAGUGAUGAAGGUCUUCGGAUCGUAAAACUCUGUUAUUAGGGAAGAACAAAUGUGUAAGUAACUAUGCACGUCUUGACGGUACCUAAUCAGAAAGCCACGGCUAACUACGUG